UCCAUGCUUGUUUUGGCACCCAAGGUACUUUUGAUAGUUUACCGUGGGAUCUUUGCUUCUUUAGUAUGUCUGACUAUAUCAAAUUUCUCCUCGUCCUAUUACUGUUACACUUGUGGUGGUGUUGUUUUACUUAUGAUUUUAAUAGUAAGGUCUGAACAUUUAUUAUAUUUCUUGCAUUUUCUUAUUGGUUUUGAAACCUUAGCUCAUAAUGGUUCUAAAUAUUUGAUAAUGACUCUUAAGUUUGAUGUGACAGACAGACAAUAGAUGAUCCAAAGUGGUGGAUGGUUUCAAAUACAUGCUUUUAUUUGUUUUCAAGAAUUUCUUAGCUUAUGGUUGGGCAUCCACAAUAAGACUAUGGUGAUGUUUGUUGCAUUUAGCAGCAUGGUUGAAGAGAAGAAGUUCUUUGGAGCGUCAGUCAGUUGGUCAUGACUUGUUAAAUUGAGGGAUUCUUAUAUGAUCAAGUGAGUUUGGCAGGCUAUGGUUGGAAGAAAUAAGUGGCAAUUUAUUUUUUGGGCUAGCAUUCAAGAAUAUUGAUGCGGAACUGGUCUCAAACUGAAUGGCAAAAAAGGAUCCAUAUAG
RNAcentral lists this unclassified non-coding RNA (579 nucleotides) under Hevea brasiliensis (rubber tree). The record is from RNAcentral. Lineage: Eukaryota; Viridiplantae; Streptophyta; Magnoliopsida; Malpighiales; Euphorbiaceae.